CCUGCAGCCACAGCUUUACCAUGGACAUACUCAGAAAACAACAAGGGUGAAGUCUUCAUUUUCAGAAAGAAGUUGAGCUCUGCGCUCGAGUUCACCAGGGCCACUUCCUGAUGAUGACAGUAAACAUGGAUGACGGUCUUCAAAAUGGACCUGGACAGCACAGGAAUACACA
Nematolebias whitei (Rio pearlfish) is the source of this 172-nucleotide long non-coding RNA. RefSeq lists it as uncharacterized. The transcript has 3 exons. NCBI's taxonomy places the organism in Eukaryota, Metazoa, Chordata, Actinopteri, Cyprinodontiformes, Rivulidae. The record is from RefSeq and is a predicted model, not a curated record.